Molecule: long non-coding RNA, 834 nt
Filed under: Manihot esculenta (cassava)
Lineage: Eukaryota; Viridiplantae; Streptophyta; Magnoliopsida; Malpighiales; Euphorbiaceae
Description: long non-coding RNA (MESC_LNC006588)
Source: RNAcentral
CCAAUUCAGCCCACAAUCCAAACCUCACUGAAUGCCAAAUGACAACCCAAGUCAGCCCACAAUCCAAACCAUCCUCAUAUUAUGCAGCACAUACAACACCAUCCACAUCACUUCCUUCAUCGAAGAGCAGAUCAGAAAAAAGUACAACCUAUAAACAGCGGCAUCUCAAUCCCAACACCACGACAAAGAAAUCACAGCAACAAGAGGCGUGCAUGGAAUCAGAACAAAUAUGAGAAGGCUCACAGUUGGAUGAAACAACCCGGAAGGAAGAAUAAGUAUUGCAAAAGGUGACAGCAGAGUGCCAAGUCGAUCAGCGGCUUGAUGGGAACAUGACUUACCGAAUGUAGCGGUAUAGUACUUAGAGAUGCAAACAUGGCACAGAGAAACCUCCUCGAAACCAGAUGAACCAAGCCAACCACCUUAAAAAACAGGUUUGAAAACUAGCCUGUCCAUAUCAAUCGCUGAAGACCUGCAAAGAAACUAAAAGAGAAAAGAGAAAAACACAACAAAAGGGAAAGCCAGCAUCCUUAGCAUGGGCAAUUAAGAAGGUGGAGGAAAAAACAGAAACAAAGAGAUUUUAGGUAGGGGAAAAUGAAAUCAAACCAAAAAACGCGAAACAGCAACCAUCGGAUCACCACAACAAAUAGAUCAAACUCGAGAAUCUUCAAACAAAUCCCAAACUCGUUCCUCUACCCUUUCACACACUCUCUUUCCUUUCUCUCUUAUUUGUACAAAAUUGAUUAUGAUUAAAUUUAUUUCUUUAUCAAAUGUGAUAGAAUUGAAAAAAAUACAAUAUUUUUAGAUUAAGAUGUCGAUAUUAUAAAAUUACCUUAC